AAGAAAUUAGCUUAAUUGGUAGAGCAGUCGUUUUACACGCGAACGGUUAAGUGUUCAAUUCACUUAUUUCUUA
Molecule: transfer RNA, 73 nt
Filed under: Exophiala aquamarina CBS 119918
Lineage: Eukaryota; Fungi; Ascomycota; Eurotiomycetes; Chaetothyriales; Herpotrichiellaceae
Rfam family: tRNA
About the family: Transfer RNA (tRNA) molecules are approximately 80 nucleotides in length. Their secondary structure includes four short double-helical elements and three loops (D, anti-codon, and T loops).
Source: Rfam by way of RNAcentral